Molecule: ribosomal RNA, 253 nt
Filed under: uncultured bacterium
Lineage: Bacteria
Description: partial 16S ribosomal RNA
Rfam family: Bacterial small subunit ribosomal RNA
Source: RNAcentral
UACGGAGGGGGCUAGCGUUGUUCGGAAUUACUGGGCGUAAAGCGCACGUAGGCGGCUUUGUAAGUUAGAGGUGAAAGCCCGGGGCUCAACUCCGGAAUUGCCUUUAAGACUGCAUCGCUAGAAUUGUGGAGAGGUAAGUGGAAUUCCGAGUGUAGAGGUGAAAUUCGUAGAUAUUCGGAAGAACACCGGUGGCGAAGGCGGCCUGCUGGGCAGUUGCUGACACUGAGGCGCGACAGCGUGGGGAGCAAACAGG